RNAcentral lists this ribosomal RNA (542 nucleotides) under Lacticaseibacillus paracasei. RNAcentral's name for it is "bacterial SSU rRNA". It matches the Rfam family "Bacterial small subunit ribosomal RNA", at positions 986 to 1533 of the family's 1533-position model. Lineage: Bacteria; Bacillati; Bacillota; Bacilli; Lactobacillales; Lactobacillaceae. The record is from RNAcentral.
AUCUUUUGAUCACCUGAGAGAUCAGGUUUCCCCUUCGGGGGCAAAAUGACAGGUGGUGCAUGGUUGUCGUCAGCUCGUGUCGUGAGAUGUUGGGUUAAGUCCCGCAACGAGCGNAACCCUUAUGACUAGUUGCCAGCAUUUAGUUGGGCACUCUAGUAAGACUGCGUNNAACGAAGGUGGGGAUGACGUCAAAUCAUCAUGCCCCUUAUGACCUGGGCUACACACGUGCUACAAUGGAUGGUACAACGAGUUGCGAGACCGCGAGGUCAAGCUAAUCUCUUAAAGCCAUUCUCAGUUCGGACUGUAGGCUGCAACUCGCCUACACGAAGUCGGAAUCGCUAGUAAUCGCGGAUCAGCACGCCGCGGUGAAUACGUUCCCGGGCCUUGUACACACCGCCCGUCACACCAUGAGAGUUUGUAACACCCGAAGCCGGUGGCGUAACCCUUUUAGGGAGCGAGCCGUCUAAGGUGGGACAAAUGAUUAGGGUGAAGUCGUAACAAGGUAGCCGUAGGAGAACCUGCGGCUGGAUCACCUCCUUUCU